Sapajus apella (tufted capuchin) is the source of this 600-nucleotide long non-coding RNA. RefSeq lists it as uncharacterized. The record is from RefSeq and is a predicted model, not a curated record. The transcript has 4 exons. Lineage: Eukaryota; Metazoa; Chordata; Mammalia; Primates; Cebidae.
CAGGCUCCGGGAGCUCCGGCGGCGGGAGGCGGCGCGCGUUGAACAGGAAGUGCGCGGCGUGCAGCGCCACCGUCCCACUCCCGCCGCCCCACGCCGCCCCGGGUCGCCGCGCCCGGUCCCCUGCGGCCGCCGCGGCUCGGGACUCGCUCCGAGCUAGUUUCAGAUCCAUCCCGCCUCCCCGCACCUCGGUGUGGGCCCGACGCCCCCGAAACACGCCCCCGCCCCUCCCCGCCGCGCCGCAGACGCCGCAGCGGGGAAGCCCACGGUCUCCCGGUGCUGAGUGGAGCAGCACGUGCUUCGCGAAACACCGCAGUCCCUGGGUCCCGCCGCCCCCGGCGCGUGCGCUCGAACCCGCCAGGAGAGCGGUGCGUGGCGCUGGGUGCGAUUAGGGUCUCGCCACCCCCACCCCAACCCACCCGGCUAUUUUCAGGUUCAGCAAGGUUUGCGCAGUGGAUCCGCGAAUGAAACCAGCUGGAAGAUCCCCAGUCCAGAGACAGAGCCUGACAGGGGCAGAUGUUCAGGGAGGACCCUGUGUGGGUUCAGCAACCAAGCAGCCAUCCUGGUGCCCCACAGGUGGGAGACAGAGCAACCAUCCUGGCC